This 253-nucleotide ribosomal RNA is filed under the name uncultured bacterium. RNAcentral's name for it is "partial 16S ribosomal RNA". It matches the Rfam family "Bacterial small subunit ribosomal RNA", at positions 524 to 776 of the family's 1533-position model. The record is from RNAcentral.
GACAGAGGGUGCAAACGUUGUUCGGAUUUACUGGGCGUAAAGCGCGUGUAGGCGGCCCGGUAAGUCCGCUGUGAAAGUCGGGGGCUCAACCCUCGGAUGCCGGUGGAUACUGUCGGGCUAGAGUGCGGAAGAGGCGAGUGGAAUUCCUGGUGUAGCGGUGAAAUGCGCAGAUAUCAGGAGGAACACCAAUUGCGAAGGCAGCUCGCUGGGACGUGACUGACGCUGAGACGCGAAAGCGUGGGGAGCAAACAGG